GGUAGCGUAGCCGAGCGGUCCAAGGCGCUGGUUUAAGGCACCAGUCUCUUCGGGGGCAUGGGUUCGAAUCCCAUCGCUGCCA
Molecule: transfer RNA, 82 nt
Filed under: Daphnia pulicaria
Lineage: Eukaryota; Metazoa; Arthropoda; Branchiopoda; Diplostraca; Daphniidae
Description: tRNA-Leu
Rfam family: tRNA
About the family: Transfer RNA (tRNA) molecules are approximately 80 nucleotides in length. Their secondary structure includes four short double-helical elements and three loops (D, anti-codon, and T loops).
Source: RNAcentral